Molecule: small RNA, 965 nt
Filed under: Pan troglodytes (chimpanzee)
Lineage: Eukaryota; Metazoa; Chordata; Mammalia; Primates; Hominidae
Description: processed transcript
Source: RNAcentral
GGGCGGGGCCCGGGAGGUGCUGACACUGCAGUUGGGACAUUUUGCCGGUUUCGUGGGCGCGCACUGGUGGAACCAGCAGGUGAGGUCAGCCGGCAGCUGCCCCCGAGGAGCCCUUCGGGAUCUACAGUCCCGACGAUCAGCCGGCCUGCCUCGUCCUCUCUGCUUCCCCAGGAUGCUGCGCUGGGCCGAGCGACCGAUUCCAAGGAGCCCCCGGGAGAGCUGUGCCCCGACGUCCUGUAUCGUACGGGCCGGACGCUGCACGGCCAGGAGACCUACACGCCGCGACUCAUCCUCAUGGAUCUGAAGGGUAGUUUGAGCUCCCUAAAAGAGGAAGGUGGACUCUACAGGGACAAACAGUUGGAUGCUGCAAUAGCAUGGCAGGGGAAACUCACCACACACAAAGAGGAACUCUAUCCCAAGAACCCUUAUCUCCAAGACUUUCUGAGUGCAGAGGGAGUGCUGAGUAGUGAUGGUGUUUGGAGGGUCAAAUCCAUUCCCAAUGGCAAAGGUUCCUCACCACUCACCACCGCUACAACUCCAAAACCACUUAUCCCUACAGAGGCCAGCAUCAGGGUCUGGUCAGACUUCCUCAGAGUCCAUCUCCAUCCCCGGAGCAUCUGUAUGAUUCAGAAGUACAACCACGAUGGGGAAGCAGGUCGGCUGGAGGCUUUUGGCCAAGGGGAAAGUGUCCUAAAGGAACCCAAGUACCAGGAAGAGCUGGAGGACAGGCUGCACUUCUACGUGGAGGAAUGUGACUACUUGCAGGGCUUCCAGAUCCUGUGUGACCUGCACGAUGGCUUCUCUGGGGUAGGCGCGAAGGCGGCAGAGCUGCUACAAGAUGAAUAUUCAGGGCGGGGAAUAAUAACUUGGGGCCUGCUACCUGGUCCCUACCAUCGUGGGGAGGCCCAGAGAAACAUCUAUCGUCUAUUAAACACAGCUUUUGGUCUCGUGCACCUGACUGCUCA